This 499-nucleotide ribosomal RNA is filed under the name uncultured Glomeromycotina. RNAcentral describes it as "partial small subunit ribosomal RNA". It matches the Rfam family "Eukaryotic small subunit ribosomal RNA", at positions 591 to 1092 of the family's 1831-position model. The record is from RNAcentral. Lineage: Eukaryota; Fungi; Glomeromycota.
CCAAUAGCGUAUAUUAAAGUUGUUGCAGUUAAAAAGCUCGUAGUUGAAUUUCGGGAUUAGUACGUUGGUCGUGCCUUAGGUACGUACUGGUUUUACUGGUUCCUACCUUCUGACGAACCAUCAUGUCAUUAAUUUGGUGUGGCGGGGAAUCAGGACUGUUACUUUGAAAAAAUUAGAGUGUUUAAAGCAGGCUCGGGCUUGAAUCCAUUAGCAUGGAAUAAUGAAAUAGGACGUUGAUCCUAUUUUGUUGGUUUCUAGGAUUGACGUAAUGAUUAAUAGGGAUAGUUGGGGGCAUUAGUAUUCAAUUGUCAGAGGUGAAAUUCUUGGAUUUAUUGAAGACUAACUACUGCGAAAGCAUUUGCCAAGGAUGUUUUCAUUAAUCAAGAACGAAAGUUAGGGGAUCGAAGACGAUCAGAUACCGUCGUAGUCUUAACCAUAAACUAUGCCGACUAGGGAUCGGAUGAUGUUAAUUUUUUAAUGACUCAUUCGGCGCCUUACG